RNAcentral lists this long non-coding RNA (811 nucleotides) under Brachypodium distachyon (stiff brome). Its description in RNAcentral is "long non-coding RNA (BDIS_LNC002553)". Lineage: Eukaryota; Viridiplantae; Streptophyta; Magnoliopsida; Poales; Poaceae. The record is from RNAcentral.
AGAUAGUACAAUUUUGUUGGGACCCUUUUGACUUGGUCUGAAGAUCAAUUGGGUGCAUCAAGGAGGGACAGUGUUUUUAUACACAUAAAGCCAUUUGUAUUCGGUGUCUUUCUCUCUCUUUCCCGGUCACAGAGAAUCUUCUCACAUAAGUCCCAUUCAGUCUGUUCACACUUUACCGGGGGUUCCAAUGAUGACCUGUGCUCAGAUCAGAAAGUUUAAGAGCAGAAAUGGCUUCUCUUUUGUUUGUGUCCUUUUCUUUCCUUCUUCGAUUCAAUGCAAGAUGUUUCGCCCUAUUUAUAUGUUGCCUUCCUAAGAUUAUGUGAAGCACGAACUGAUUGUAUCACUGUAAAUAAGAUUGCCCAAAUUCAAAAUUGAUGUCAGUUUCGAAGUCUUGUUAAGCUCCAGGCCGUUAGAACGGACAUGCGUAAUGGGCUGAGGAACCUUUUUUUCUUUUUUUGCGAAGGUAUGGUAAUGGGCUGAGGAACAACUACUAGUACUAGUUGCAAACUCCACUGCGCAAUCAUACUGACCUAGUACUGUGUGCUGCAGGGCUACCUUCGGCUUAUCACGUACUCCUCCAAUUCAUGAACAGCGUCAGAUGAUAGGCAUGGCUCCUAGGCUACGACCUCCUUUCAAAGAAAAUGCAUGUCACUCGAUCGCUCCUGACUUGCUUAUCUUUUCCCAUGCACGCCCGGGAAGGCAGAUUACUCGAUCGUGUCUCGGGUCAUCAUCGGCAGAACAGCGAUCCACCACAGCACUACCAAAUUGUGAAUCGGGCCGGCUUGCCGUAUUACCGCCCAACCACUCGAUC